GGGGGUUCGAUUCCCUAGUGAUGCAAGGUUUUUUCUUUCAUUUUGGACUGCACACACAUCGCGAGUGACGGAUACUCGCACAAUGUACACACAUCACUGUCUUUACAAUUUCUAGGCAACCGAAGUUUAAAGAUUGUCAAGUGGUUAAAUCUUGAAUCGCAACUCAUUAACGCGGGGAUAAGGGGUUUGAUUCCUUAAUGAAGCUAGCUUUUUUCUUUCAUAUUGGACUGGAUGUUUGUAUGCCAUUUUGCGUAACUUGUAGUUUAUGAUGAAGAAAUGUUACUGGGGUUAAAGGGACUCUUACCUUUGUUGCAUUUUUACACUUUUUUUGGAUAAGGUUAAAUUGGUAUUAAUAAGGUAAUAACACUCUAAUAUGCAAGACAGACCCACCAGGAGUAAAAACAAACAAUUAUUUUACUCUCAUAAUAUUUAGUGAAAACUUCAACCAAUAAAAUUCUUCGGACCGAAUGACCUUAUUGGCCGACAGACCUGUCUGUUUGCUGCAUGGAUAUAUAAGGUUUUCCGUCUGCUUCUUGUGGCGCAUUCGGGCCCGCGUCAUCAAGGCGCGUCCUCAACUAGAGGGUUUGUUUCGAUUCCACGGCAGACAGUAGCGAGUAGCGACCGUAGCGACUGACGAUGGCAGACCAAAGUGGUCCACGGCGUACUGAAACUGCACCAUUCAGUCCGAUUAGGGGACUCAUCUCGGACUCAGACUCACAGAGUUACCCUCCUCUGGAGCCUCAGGAAGACCUCCAGACUGUUGGCCACCAACUGCACCAUUCAGUCCGACAAGGGGACCCGAUUCGGCCUCAGAAGCCAAGUGGUCCCGCUCCCCUGGAUGAUUCUCAGGACCUCCAGACCGUUGGCAACCAACCGGACCCAUUUCGGACUCAGACGCGACGUUGUCCCGCUACUCUGGAGCUACAGGAAGACCUCCAGACCGUUGGCACCCAACCGCACCAUUCAGUCCGAUUAGGGGACCCAUUUCGGCCUCAGACGCUACGUUGUCCCGCUACUCUGUUUGUAAUGCUCAUACACCUUUCUUAUACUCAGUGGGACCACUGUCCUUCAACAUGGGGCCUCAAAACGGUAUCACACGAAGCCCAUAAAAUUACAGUGAGCCACCUGCUAAAUUUCUUGUUUAUUAGACCCCUGGUAGAUAUUAUGACCCCUGGGAGUCUAAACAUAACCCAUGGGAGUCUAAACAUAACCCAUGGGAGUCUAGAACUUUUGUACUGUAGCGACCCUGGGACAGUUAAAUAG
RNAcentral lists this long non-coding RNA (1263 nucleotides) under Gadus morhua (Atlantic cod). RNAcentral's name for it is "lncRNA (ENSGMOG00000026634.1)". Lineage: Eukaryota; Metazoa; Chordata; Actinopteri; Gadiformes; Gadidae. The record is from RNAcentral.